UGGGGAAUUUUGCGCAAUGGGCGAAAGCCUGACGCAGCGACGCCGCGUGAAUGAAGAAGGCCUUCGGGUCGUAAAGUUCUUUCAGUAGGGAAGAAUAUGCAUGUCAGUAACUGGUCGUGCAAUGACGUUACCUACAGAAGCAGCCCCGGCUAACUCCGUGCCAGCAGCCGCGGUAAUACGGAGGGGGCAAGCGUUGUUCGGAGUGACUGGGCGUAAAGCGCACGUAGGCGGUUAUGUAAGUCUAUUGUUAAAGGCAUCGGCUCAACCGAUGUAUUGCAGUGGAAACUACAGAACUAGAGUACCGGAGAGGAAUGCGGAAUAUCUGGUGUAGCGGUGGAAUGCGUAGAUAUCAGAUAGAACACCUGUUGCGAAGGCGGCAUUCUGGUCGGUAACUGACGCUGAGGUGCGAAAGCGUGGGGAGCAAACA
RNAcentral lists this ribosomal RNA (427 nucleotides) under uncultured prokaryote. RNAcentral describes it as "bacterial SSU rRNA". It matches the Rfam family "Bacterial small subunit ribosomal RNA", at positions 355 to 774 of the family's 1533-position model. The record is from RNAcentral.